Molecule: non-coding RNA, 27 nt
Filed under: Homo sapiens (human)
Lineage: Eukaryota; Metazoa; Chordata; Mammalia; Primates; Hominidae
Source: RNAcentral
UGUACUUCCUUAAAGAAUUGUCGGGUA